Lactuca sativa (garden lettuce) is the source of this 107-nucleotide small nucleolar RNA. The record is from RefSeq and is a predicted model, not a curated record. Lineage: Eukaryota; Viridiplantae; Streptophyta; Magnoliopsida; Asterales; Asteraceae.
AGAUCAUGAUGGGAGCAAUUCAUUAGCAAACCCUUGUACCUUUCCCAUGCCUCAUAAAGUGACUCUCUUGCAUGUUGUUUAAAGUUUGCAAUUGCCUUCUUCAAAUU